This 251-nucleotide ribosomal RNA is filed under the name uncultured bacterium. RNAcentral's name for it is "partial 16S ribosomal RNA". It matches the Rfam family "Bacterial small subunit ribosomal RNA", at positions 524 to 775 of the family's 1533-position model. The record is from RNAcentral.
UACGUAGGGUGCGAGCGUUAAUCGGAAUUACUGGGCGUAAAGCGUGCGCAGGCGGUUCGCUAAGACCGAUGUGAAAUCCCCGGGCUCAACCUGGGAACUGCAUUUGUGACUGCAUGGCUAGAGUGCGGCAGAGGGGGAUGGAAUUCCGCGUGUAGCAGUGAAAUGCGUAGAUAUGCGGAGGAACACCGAUGGCGAAGGCAAUCCCCUGGGCCUGCACUGACGCUCAUGCACGAAAGCGUGGGAGCAAACAG